RNAcentral lists this unclassified non-coding RNA (268 nucleotides) under uncultured Ascomycota. RNAcentral describes it as "sequence contains 5.8S rRNA gene, ITS2, 28S rRNA gene". Lineage: Eukaryota; Fungi; Ascomycota. The record is from RNAcentral.
AACGCAUAUUGCGCCCCUUGGUAUUCCAGAGGGCAUGCCUGUUCGAGCGUCAUUAUACAAUCUCAAGUUUUAUAAGCUUGGUGUUGGGCUGUCAUAUCCACCUUUGUAGGUUAUGUGCCUGAAAAUCAGUGGCAGUACCUAAAAUAGUCUCAAGCAUAGUAGACACUCUUGCUUUGGAGGCUUUAUUUUUUUUUGGGUUUGCUUGUCCUUUCUAAUGAUUUACAGAAGGUUUGACCUCGAAUCAGGUAGGGAUACCCGCUGAACUUAA